UGCGUAGGCGGGCUAAUAAGUCAGUGGUGAAAUCUUCCGGCUCAACCGGGAAACUGCCAUUGAUACUGUUAAUCUUGAGUUCGGUUGAGGUAGGCGGAAUGUGUAAUGUAGCGGUGAAAUGCUUAGAUAUUACACAGAACACCAAUUGCGUAGGCAGCUUACUAGACCGACACUGACGCUGAGGCACGAAAGCGUGGGUAGCGAACAGGAUUAGAUACCCUGGUAGUCC
RNAcentral lists this ribosomal RNA (229 nucleotides) under uncultured bacterium. RNAcentral describes it as "partial 16S ribosomal RNA". It matches the Rfam family "Bacterial small subunit ribosomal RNA", at positions 568 to 796 of the family's 1533-position model. The record is from RNAcentral.